This 301-nucleotide ribosomal RNA is filed under the name uncultured bacterium. RNAcentral describes it as "partial 16S ribosomal RNA". It matches the Rfam family "Bacterial small subunit ribosomal RNA", at positions 509 to 807 of the family's 1533-position model. The record is from RNAcentral.
CAGUAGCCGCGGUAAUACGAAGGGUGCAAGCGUUAAUCGGAAUUACUGGGCGUAAAGCGUGCGUAGGCGGUGAGUUAAGUCUGUUGUGAAAGCCCCGGGCUCAACCUGGGAAUGGCAAUGGAUACUGGAAAGCUAGAGUGCGGUAGAGGGUAGUGGAAUUCCCGGUGUAGCAGUGAAAUGCGUAGAGAUCGGGAGGAACACCAGUGGCGAAGGCGGCUACCUGGACCAGCACUGACACUGAAGCACGAAAGCGUGGGGAGCAAACAGGAUUAGAGACCCGAGUAGUCCCUGUCUCUUAUAC